Molecule: ribosomal RNA, 895 nt
Filed under: Squamanita orientalis
Lineage: Eukaryota; Fungi; Basidiomycota; Agaricomycetes; Agaricales; Squamanitaceae
Description: partial large subunit ribosomal RNA
Rfam family: Eukaryotic large subunit ribosomal RNA
Source: RNAcentral
ACAUCAUAGCGGGGAAAAGAAACUACCAAGGAUUCCCCUAGUAACUGCGAGUGAAGCGGGAAAAGCUCAAAUUUGAAAUCUGGCAGCCAUGAGGUUGUCCGAGUUGUAAUCUAGAGAAGUGUCAUCCGUGUUGGACCAUGUACAAGUCUCCUGGAAUGGAGCAUCAUGGAGGGUGACAAUCCCGUCUUUGACAUGGACUACCAAUGCUUUGUGAUGCACUCUCGAAGAGUCGAGUUGUUUGGGAAUGCAGCUCCAAAUGGGUGGUAAAUUCCAUCUAAAGCUAAAUAUUGGCGAGAGACCGAUAGCGAACAAGUACCGUGAGGGAAAGAUGAAAAGGACUUUGGAAAGAGAGUUAAACAGUACGUGAAAUUGCUGAAAGGGAAACGCUUAAAGUCAGUUGCAUUGACUGGGAAUCAGCCCUGUGUACCAGUUGGAAUGCUGGGUGUACUUUCCAGUUGAUGGGUCAGCAUCAGUUUUGAACAUUGGAUAAAGGUAUGAGGAAUGUGGCAUUUAUUUAUAAAUGUGUUAUAGCCUUGUAUUGUAUGCAAUGAUUGGGACUGAGGAAUGCAGCACAGAGAUUUUAAACUCUCAUUUGUGCUUAGGAUGGCUGGCAAAAUGGCUUUAAUCGACCCGUCUUGAAACACGGACCAAGGAGUCUAACAUGCCUGCGAGUAUUUGGGUGGAAAACCCAUAUGCGCAAUGAAAGUGAAAGUUGAGAUCCCUGACGGGAGCAUCGACACCCAGACUUGAUGUUUUCUGACAGUUCUGCGGUAGAGCAUGUAUGUUGGGACCCGAAAGAUGGUGAACUAUGCCUGAAUAGGGUGAAGCCAGAGGAAACUCUGGUGGAGGCUCGUAGCGAUUCUGACGUGCAAAUCGAUCGUCAAAUUUGGGUAUA